AUUGAACGCUGGCGGCAGGCCUAACACAUGCAAGUCGAGCGCGAAAGCACUUCGGUGUGAGUAGAGCGGCGGACGGGUGAGUAAUGCUUGGGAAUCUACCUAGUAGUGGGGGAUAACGUGUGGAAACGCACGCUAAUACCGCGUACGUCCUACGGGAGAAAGCAGGGGACCUUCGGGCCUUGCGCUAUUAGAUGAGCCCAAGUCGGAUUAGCUAGUUGGUAGGGUAAUGGCUUACCAAGGCGACGAUCCGUAGCUGGUCUGAGAGGAUGAUCAGCCACACUGGGACUGAGACACGGCCCAGACUCCUACGGGAGGCAGCAGUGGGGAAUAUUGCACAAUGGGCGAAAGCCUGAUGCAGCCAUGCCGCGUGUGUGAAGAAGGCUCUAGGGUUGUAAAGCACUUUCAGUAGGGAGGAAAAGUAUGUAGUUAAUAACUGCAUACCCUGACGUUACCUACAGAAGAAGCACCGGCAAACUCCGUGCCAGCAGCCGCGGUAAUACGGAGGGUGCGAGCGUUAAUCGGAAUUACUGGGCGUAAAGCGCGCGUAGGUGGUUUGAUAAGCUAGCUGUGAAAGCCCCGGGCUCAACCUGGGAACUGCAGUUAGAACUGUCUGACUAGAGUACAGUAGAGGGUGGCGGAAUUUCCUGUGUAGCGGUGAAAUGCGUAGAUAUAGGAAGGAACAUCAGUGGCGAAGGCGGCCACCUGGACUGAUACUGACAACUGAG
RNAcentral lists this ribosomal RNA (725 nucleotides) under bacterium IMCC8505. RNAcentral's name for it is "bacterial SSU rRNA". It matches the Rfam family "Bacterial small subunit ribosomal RNA", at positions 28 to 750 of the family's 1533-position model. The record is from RNAcentral.